CCCACCAGGCAGGAGUUGUGUGUGGUCAGGGCUGUGGCAGAGAAAAAGGGUGGCCUUGCAAGACCCGGAUUAUGAGCCUAGAUCCACCACAUUGUGCCUAACAGACCUGGAGAAGAUUCUUACAUGCACGGGAUGGAAAUAAAAAUACAGUCCUGGCCUUCUGCAUAAGGUCUUUGCCAGAAUCAAGUGAGAUCAAGAACAAGAGGAAUCUUCAUCAAGAGUCAAGUGCAAUGAAAAGGUGAGAGAAUCAUUCCUGAGCCAGUUCACCCCAAAGAGCUGAGAGUCUUCAAAGGAUUGUGGGUGAGAGACGUGGGGAGCAUUUCAGGGGCCUUGGCAUCUGGCCUGUUGGCUGAUCUCCCCAGUGAGUGGCCUGCUUUGCCCUGUUGGUCAGGACAGUGUCCAGAGGACAGAUGAGGUGUGAGGGAGGAGGUGUGGACUGCCCCACGCCCAGGUUUUCUUCGUGUGAGCAACCCAACCCACUAUCCCGACGUCCAACGGAAACACAGCUUCCCUGUCGGGGACCACCAG
Odocoileus virginianus texanus is the source of this 528-nucleotide non-coding RNA. NCBI's taxonomy places the organism in Eukaryota, Metazoa, Chordata, Mammalia, Artiodactyla, Cervidae. The record is from RefSeq and is a predicted model, not a curated record.